CCGCACUAGGUGGGGCGCUAGCGGUGCCCUGUCACCUGCAAUCCGCUAUAGCAGGACUGAUGCCGUCCCCCGGGAAGUAAUUUCAAGGUCUGGCGGCCAUUAAGUAGUGAUGACAGCUGGGUCCAACGCAAUAUGUCCCUGUGAACCUUGUCAGGUCCGGAAGGAAGCAGCAAUAAGCAGGUCCACAUAUGUGCCGUCGGAGUGCCUGGCUCGAGCCGGCUGAUGGCUUGCCGCUUGGGAGCGUUUCUCAAAGGUCGGCGUGCGG
RNAcentral lists this signal recognition particle RNA (265 nucleotides) under Peptococcus niger. Its description in RNAcentral is "Bacterial large signal recognition particle RNA". It matches the Rfam family "Bacterial large signal recognition particle RNA". From Rfam's summary of the family: The signal recognition particle (SRP) is a universally conserved ribonucleoprotein involved in the co-translational targeting of proteins to membranes. Archaeal SRP consists of a 7S RNA and homologues of the eukaryotic SRP19 and SRP54 proteins. The record is from Rfam by way of RNAcentral. Lineage: Bacteria; Bacillati; Bacillota; Clostridia; Eubacteriales; Peptococcaceae. RNAcentral also lists the same sequence under 1 other name.